Molecule: ribosomal RNA, 465 nt
Filed under: uncultured Thermincola sp.
Lineage: Bacteria; Bacillati; Bacillota; Clostridia; Eubacteriales; Thermincolaceae
Description: bacterial SSU rRNA
Rfam family: Bacterial small subunit ribosomal RNA
Source: RNAcentral
GCACAAGCGGUGGAGUAUGUGGUUUAAUUCGACGCAACGCGAAGAACCUUACCAGGGCUUGACAUCCUCUGACAACCCAAGAGAUUGGGCCUUCUGCCUUCGGGUAGACAGAGAGACAGGUGGUGCAUGGUUGUCGUCAGCUCGUGUCGUGAGAUGUUGGGUUAAGUCCCGCAACGAGCGCAACCCUUAUCUUUAGUUGCCAUCAGGUAAUGCUGGGCACUCUAGAGAGACUGCCGGUGACAAACCGGAGGAAGGUGGGGAUGACGUCAAAUCAUCAUGCCCCUUAUGUCCUGGGCUACACACGUACUACAAUGGCCGGUACAAAGGGCGGCGAAGGGGUGACCUGGAGCAAAUCCCAGCAAAACCGGUCUCAGUUCGGAUUGUAGUCUGCAACUCGACUACAUGAAGUCGGAAUCGCUAGUAAUCGCAGGUCAGCAUACUGCGGUGAAUACGUUCCCGGGCCUU